Molecule: ribosomal RNA, 567 nt
Filed under: uncultured fungus
Lineage: Eukaryota; Fungi
Description: eukaryotic LSU rRNA
Rfam family: 5.8S ribosomal RNA (bases 204-357)
Source: RNAcentral
UCCGUAGGUGAACCUGCGGAAGGAUCAUUACAGUAGUCGCCCGGGUUGCCGCAAGGCCUCCCGGGUAACCUACCACCCUUUGUUUAUUACACUUUGUUGCUUUGGCAAGCCUGCCCUCGGGCUGCUGGCUCCGGCCGGCGAGCGCUUGCCAGAGGACCUAAACUCUGUUUGUCUAUACUGUCUGAGUACUAUAUAAUAGUUAAAACUUUCAACAACGGAUCUCUUGGUUCUGGCAUCGAUGAAGAACGCAGCGAAAUGCGAUAAGUAAUGUGAAUUGCAGAAUUCAGUGAAUCAUCGAAUCUUUGAACGCACAUUGCGCCCCCUGGUAUUCCGGGGGGCAUGCCUGUCCGAGCGUCAUUACAACCCUCAAGCUCAGCUUGGUGUUGGGCCCCGCCGCCCCGGCGGGCCCUAAAGUCAGUGGCGGUGCCGUCCGGCUCCGAGCGUAGUAAUUCUUCUCGCUCUGGAGGUCCGGUCGUGUGCUCGCCAGCAACCCCCAAUUUUUUUCAGGUUGACCUCGGAUCAGGUAGGGAUACCCGCCGAACUUAAGCAUAUCAAUAAGCGGAGGAA